This 374-nucleotide ribosomal RNA is filed under the name uncultured organism. RNAcentral's name for it is "partial 16S ribosomal RNA". It matches the Rfam family "Bacterial small subunit ribosomal RNA", at positions 527 to 896 of the family's 1533-position model. The record is from RNAcentral.
GUAGGUGGCAAGCGUUGUCCGGAAUUACUGGGCGUAAAGCGCGCGCAGGUGGUUCUUUAAGUCUGAUGUGAAAGCCCCCCGGGCUCAACCGGGGAGGGUCAUUGGAAACUGGGGAACUUGAGUGCAGGAGAGGAAAGUGGAAUUCCACGUGUAGCGGUGAAAUGCGUAGAUAUGUGGAGGAACACCAGUGGCGAAGGCGACUUUCUGGCCUGUAACUGACACUGAGGCGCGAAAGCGUGGGGAGCAAACAGGAUUAGAUACCCUGGUAGUCCACGCCGUAAACGAUGAGUGCUAAGUGUUGGGGGGUUUCCGCCCCUCAGUGCUGCAGCUAACGCAUUAAGCACUCCGCCUGGGGAGUACGGCCGCAAAGACUG